GCGCCCGUAGCUCAGCAGGAUAGAGCAACAGUUUCCUAAACUGUGUGUCGUACGUUCGAAUCGUAUCGGGCGCGCCA
This 77-nucleotide transfer RNA is filed under the name Cohnella lubricantis. RNAcentral's name for it is "tRNA-Arg". It matches the Rfam family "tRNA". From Rfam's summary of the family: Transfer RNA (tRNA) molecules are approximately 80 nucleotides in length. Lineage: Bacteria; Bacillati; Bacillota; Bacilli; Caryophanales; Paenibacillaceae. The record is from RNAcentral.